Molecule: long non-coding RNA, 233 nt
Filed under: Homo sapiens (human)
Lineage: Eukaryota; Metazoa; Chordata; Mammalia; Primates; Hominidae
Description: HSALNT0219023
Source: RNAcentral
GGUGGGUGUGGCUUGAAGAAUCACGUGUGAAGUUCUGCAAGAGGUUUCCUGGAACCUCCAUGUGUAAGGCAAGAGGAAAAAUCUUCAACAAAUCAGGGGCUCUCGGCGGCCAGUGAGGCCCGAACUCAGCAUGGGAAGGGACUUUCUCCGAGUGUGUGUCAUGGAGUACUUCCAACCUGCAGGACAGAAGGGCUUCUGAGGUUGGCCACAGGAGGACAAGAAGACAGACAGUG